This 440-nucleotide ribosomal RNA is filed under the name uncultured bacterium. Its description in RNAcentral is "partial 16S ribosomal RNA". It matches the Rfam family "Bacterial small subunit ribosomal RNA", at positions 338 to 795 of the family's 1533-position model. The record is from RNAcentral.
CCUACGGGUGGCAGCAGUGGGGAAUAUUGCACAAUGGGGGGAACGCUGAUGCAGCAACGCCGCGUGGGUGAAGAAGUACUCCGGUAUGUAAAGCCCUGUCAGCAGGGAAGAAAAUGACGGUACCUGACCAAGAAGCCCCGGCUAACAACGUGCCAGAAGCCGCGGUAAUAAGUAGGGGGCAAGCGUUAUCCGGAUUGACUGGGGGUAAAGGGGGCGCAGACGGCGAUGCAAGCCAGGAGUGAAAGCCCGGGGCCCAACCCCGGGACUGCUCUUGGAACUGCGUGGCUGGAGUGCAGGAGGGGCAGGCGGAAUUCCUGGUGUAGCGGUGAAAUGUGUAGAUAUCAGGAGGAACACCGGUGGCGAAGGCGGCCUGCUGGACUGCAACUGACGUUGAGGCCCGAAAGCGUGGGGAGCAAACAGGAUUAGAUACCCGUGUAGUC